RNAcentral lists this ribosomal RNA (560 nucleotides) under Lonsdalea britannica. RNAcentral's name for it is "bacterial SSU rRNA". It matches the Rfam family "Bacterial small subunit ribosomal RNA", at positions 976 to 1533 of the family's 1533-position model. The record is from RNAcentral. Lineage: Bacteria; Pseudomonadati; Pseudomonadota; Gammaproteobacteria; Enterobacterales; Pectobacteriaceae.
UACUCUUGACAUCCAGAGAAUUUAGCAGAGAUGCUUUAGUGCCUUCGGGAACUCUGAGACAGGUGCUGCAUGGCUGUCGUCAGCUCGUGUUGUGAAAUGUUGGGUUAAGUCCCGCAACGAGCGCAACCCUUAUCCUUUGUUGCCAGCACAUAAUGGUGGGAACUCAAAGGAGACUGCCGGUGAUAAACCGGAGGAAGGUGGGGAUGACGUCAAGUCAUCAUGGCCCUUACGAGUAGGGCUACACACGUGCUACAAUGGCGCAUACAAAGAGAAGCGAACUUGCGAGAGUAAGCGGACCUCAUAAAGUGCGUCGUAGUCCGGAUUGGAGUCUGCAACUCGACUCCAUGAAGUCGGAAUCGCUAGUAAUCGUAGAUCAGAAUGCUACGGUGAAUACGUUCCCGGGCCUUGUACACACCGCCCGUCACACCAUGGGAGUGGGUUGCAAAAGAAGUAGGUAGCUUAACCUUCGGGAGGGCGCUUACCACUUUGUGAUUCAUGACUGGGGUGAAGUCGUAACAAGGUAACCGUAGGGGAACCUGCGGUUGGAUCACCUCCUUACC